CAAAAUGUAAGGACCCGAAAAUAAAUUAAUGACAAUAAAAAAACCACGUGUCAGCUUGAAAGAAUCUCCAUUUCCCCAGACCUCUGUGUGCUUCACGGCGACUCGAGCUUCUUCUCUAGCGGGCCAAGGUCGGUAGAUCGAUUAGACUUCAAGAUUUCCGGCGGAUUCCGUAUACUGCUGGUUUCCACGACUCUAUGGAGGAAGUUUGUCUUAACAGCCAGCCUGUCUUUGAUUAUUGUGACAUGUAUAUGGUGAUUGUUCCUUUGUGAACGAAGAUGAAUCUAUGGAAGCACAGUCAAAGAAGAAUCUUCCACGGCCAACUGUGGGUUCGGAAUAUGAUUCUUUUGAUGAGGCAUACGACUUUUAUAAUGCUUAUGCUAAGGCACUGGGCUUUGGUAGCAGAGUCAGCAAUUCAUGGUUUCGAUCUAAGAGAAAAGAGCGACAUAGAGCUACACUUAUCAUUUGCAGGAAUGAUCUCUAUCCAUGCAUAUGAGAGGAAAUAUUAUAAAGAAGCAGUAGCAGAUCUAGAGUCGAGAAAUUUAAGCGUCGAGUUGAAAAGGAGAUGUAAGUUUUGAAAUGCAGCUCUCCAAGGUAGCAAGUUUCAAUCUGAGGUGGAAGGAAUGUACUCUUGUGAGAUCUGACAUCGGUUGGAGAGGGGAACGAAGCAUUCCUUAUAAGGGUGUGGAAACCUCUCCCUAGCAGACGCAUUUUAAAAUCUUGAGACUGACGGGGCGAUACGUAACGGGCCAAGGCAGACAAUAUUUACUAACAGUGAGCUUGGGUUAGUACAACUCUUAAUUCAACACGAGGCAGGUGAAAGAAAGGAUUGUAGUUGAGGGAAACGGGCCUUAUGCAUUUCGACACAAACCAUGGGGAGCGAACGAAAAGCAGGUUCGUAGUCUGUAUCCCGAGAAGGGAGGUAAUCCAAUCAGAACUUUGUCUCCAUGUUACCAAGUAAACAUGAAAGAAUAAGGCUACCUAUGGAUGAUAGCUUUAUAUGCACAAUUCCGUGGAAGUUUAAGCAACUCCUUACCUUACUUGUGAGCUCAUAUUGGAUCUAUUAUGGUCAUCCCAUUGAAGUUGAGACCAUAAAUCCUUGCAGUUGUUUCCACUAAAAUUCUCAACGCCCUCAAUAGUAGUCUUUGCUCUAGCUUUUAAUUGAAGACUUGCUACCCAUAUAGUAUAUGGGCCCUCUUAUAUUCAUUAUGGUUACGUUGGAUAUGUGGACUUUAUAGUAGAUAAUGCAUGCAUAUAAUUAUUUGGUUUAUAAAUAGUGACACAGUUGUACGUAA
This is a long non-coding RNA of Cucurbita pepo subsp. pepo (vegetable marrow), 1292 nucleotides long. RefSeq lists it as uncharacterized. The record is from RefSeq and is a predicted model, not a curated record. NCBI's taxonomy places the organism in Eukaryota, Viridiplantae, Streptophyta, Magnoliopsida, Cucurbitales, Cucurbitaceae.